Molecule: ribosomal RNA, 492 nt
Filed under: uncultured bacterium
Lineage: Bacteria
Description: partial 16S ribosomal RNA
Rfam family: Bacterial small subunit ribosomal RNA
Source: RNAcentral
CGUGCACGCUGGCGGUAGGCCUAACACAUGCAAGUCGAACGGCAGCACAGUAAGAGCUUGCUCUUACGGGUGGCGAGUGGCGGACGGGUGAGGAAUACAUCGGAAUCUACUUUUUCGUGGGGGAUAACGUAGGGAAACUUACGCGAAUACCGCAUACGACCUACGGGUGAAAGCAGGGGAUCUUCGGACCUUGCGCGAUUGAAUGAGCCGAUGUCGGAUUAGCUAGUUGGCGGGGUAAAGGCCCACCAAGGCGACGAUCCGUAGCUGGUCUGAGAGGAUGAUUCACUAGCCGGUAACUGAGACUGACUCGCCACGCCGGCGGUAAGCAGCAGUGUGGAAUACUAGACAAUGGGGGCGAGCCUGAUCUUGCGAUACCGCGUAGGUGCAGAAGGCGCUCUGCUUGUUAAGCCAUUUUGUUGUUAGAAAAAUGCAACUGUUUAACACGCCGCUGUACUGACGGUACCCGGAGAAUAAGCACCGGCUAACUUCGUG